RNAcentral lists this ribosomal RNA (496 nucleotides) under uncultured bacterium. RNAcentral describes it as "partial 16S ribosomal RNA". It matches the Rfam family "Bacterial small subunit ribosomal RNA", at positions 29 to 507 of the family's 1533-position model. The record is from RNAcentral.
AUGAACGCUGGCGGCGUGCCUAAUACAUGCAAGUCGAGCGAACGGACGAGAAGCUUGCUUUUCUGAUGUUAGCGGCGGACGGGUGAGUAACACGUGGAUAACCUACCUAUAAGACUGGGAUAACUUCGGGAAACCGGAGCUAAUACCGGAUAAUAUUUUGAACCGCAUGGUUCAAAAGUGAAAGACGGUCUUGCUGUCACUUAUAGAUGGAUCCGCGCUGCAUUAGCUAGUUGGUAAGGUAACGGCUUACCAAGGCAACGAUGCAUAGCCGACCUGAGAGGGUGAUCGGCCACACUGGAACUGAGACACGGUCCAGACUCCUACGGGAGGCAGCAGUAGGGAAUCUUCCGCAAUGGGCGAAAGCCUGACGGAGCAACGCCGCGUGAGUGAUGAAGGUCUUCGGAUCGUAAAACUCUGUUAUUAGAGAAGAACAUAUGUGUAAGUAACUGUGCACAUCUUGACGGUGCCUAAUCAGAAAGCCACGGCUAACUACGUG